GCGCCCGUAGCUCAACGGAUAGAGCAUCUGACUACGGAUCAGAAGGCUAGGGGUUCGAGUCCCUUCGGGCGCA
Molecule: transfer RNA, 73 nt
Filed under: Actinomycetota bacterium
Lineage: Bacteria; Bacillati; Actinomycetota
Description: Actinobacteria bacterium tRNA-Arg
Rfam family: tRNA
About the family: Transfer RNA (tRNA) molecules are approximately 80 nucleotides in length. Their secondary structure includes four short double-helical elements and three loops (D, anti-codon, and T loops).
Source: RNAcentral